CUGAGAAGGUUAAGAACUUCUAUAUAUUGGCUUUGCUAGAACAACAAAGUCCUUACAGAAUCUUACCAAGAAAGGCGUCGGAGGUCCCAGUCCUUGUCCACUAUGUGCAUAUCAUGCUGACAACUUAGAUCAUUUGAUGUUGAACGGUGAGUGCUCUAAAUCUCAUUGGUAGAGUAACUUAAAUAUGCUCCAACUCCCCUCUAGUAUUCACGAUAGCACAACUGGAGAGAUUCCUUUACAAGAAGGGAUCAGGCCAUAGCAUUUGAUGCACUGUUCUCAACUGAAACCUGGUCUAUUUGGAAGGAGGAAACAACAGAUUUUGUAGAUUUGAAGCGCUCACCAGCAGGGAGCAGGCUAAGCAGACAUCCUACCCUAAAAACUGGACGUUUUUCACUGAAACCGACAACAUUCAGAACAUUUCAUCCAUGCUGAUCAUAUAGUGACAU
Molecule: long non-coding RNA, 446 nt
Filed under: Elaeis guineensis (African oil palm)
Lineage: Eukaryota; Viridiplantae; Streptophyta; Magnoliopsida; Arecales; Arecaceae
Description: long non-coding RNA (EGUI_LNC072267)
Source: RNAcentral